GACGAACGCUGGCGGCGUGCUUAACACAUGCAAGUCGAACGGAAAGGCCCUGCUUUUGUGGGGUGCUCGAGUGGCGAACGGGUGAGUAACACGUGAGUAACCUGCCCUUGACUUUGGGAUAACUUCAGGAAACUGGGGCUAAUACCGGAUAGGAGCUCCUGCUGCAUGGUGGGGGUUGGAAAGUUUCGGCGGUUGGGGAUGGACUCGCGGCUUAUCAGCUUGUUGGUGGGGUAGUGGCUUACCAAGGCUUUGACGGGUAGCCGGCCUGAGAGGGUGACCGGCCCCAUUGGGCCUGAGUUACGCCCCGGACUCCUCCGGGAGGCAGCGUUGGGAAUAUUGCACAAUGGGCGGAAGCCUGAUGCAGCAACGCCGCGUGCGGGAUGACGGCCUUCGGGUUGUAAACCGCUUUCGCCUGUGACGAAGCGUGAGUGACGGUAAUGGGUAAAGAAGCACCGGCUAACUACGUG
This 467-nucleotide ribosomal RNA is filed under the name uncultured bacterium. RNAcentral's name for it is "partial 16S ribosomal RNA". It matches the Rfam family "Bacterial small subunit ribosomal RNA", at positions 28 to 507 of the family's 1533-position model. The record is from RNAcentral.